Molecule: long non-coding RNA, 3178 nt
Organism: Nymphaea colorata (pocket water lily)
Lineage: Eukaryota; Viridiplantae; Streptophyta; Magnoliopsida; Nymphaeales; Nymphaeaceae
Exons: 3
Source: RefSeq, a predicted model, not a curated record
AUUGCCGAGUUAGUACGUCCUGCAAAAACUAGGAGACUCAAUGUCAUUGAUGGCAGGAAUGGAGCAGCAAGUUUGGAGAAGAUGGGUAAUCAAGAGCUUGUUAGCCGUAGCUAGAACCAUGGGAGACAAAGUCGUUCCAAUGGGGCAGACUGAACUCUCUAAAGAUGCUACAAUUGGCUAUCAUUUUUCUAAAACCUGCUUGUGGGUAAAGAAAAAAGACCGAGAGUCAAAUCCCUGCUAGUAGUGUUGCAUCAAUAUACCCCAAGCUUUAUGCUUUUAGGGAAGGUUGCACCUGAAGAUCUUUGCAGCUGUCAUGGUAGCUUGAAAGAAAUGAUGAAUUGUCAUGGAGUCUUCCAAAGAGAAAAGUGAAGAGAUUGCUCAGCCAUCAUGAUGAGCACCUUUCUUAACCUGAGGCACACCUUGUUGAUGAUCCAUGCAUCUAAUGAGGACUUGGAAGUUAAUUUCAAGGUUAGACUAACGUUGAUUGAAAUUGCCAGAAAAUUCAAGAACUAUCGAUGGCAGGUGUUGCCCCAGUGGAACUACCUUUUAACCAAGACGUUGUUCUCACUUUUAACAAAGACAUUGUUCUCAGUGCCAGAAAGGGUAACUACACAAUUAGUAUUGGAGGAAUGGAAGCGGCUGUGGAAAUUGUAAGGAGGGGAAAAGAUUUUUCCAUAUUACAUAUUCAUUCCAGUGGGCCACACUAUGAUGGGCUACCCUCACAUUGUUUGAGAAGAUCUGUAAAACAAACACAGGUUCCAAUCUCCACUCACCAUGACCAAAGAGACUCAACAGAGAACUAUUGAAGUCAUUCAAUGGAGCAGCGCAGGGUUGCUUGCGAGGAAAUGGGGAGGGGGAAGCAAUUGCAUGAUCUAAAUCAAUGUGUAUGGAACCACCUCAGACACAAGACAUUAUCAAGGAGACCAGGGUUCAUGUUUUGGCAGAUGUCUUGGAACAGCCCAUGCGAAAACCCCAGCAACAGGCCCAGAUCUGAUGGGCAGAAGGACCUGCAAUCAACUUGAUGGAAGCAGAGAUGUUAUAGUUCUGUUGGGGGCGAUGGAGUUGCUGCAGCAGCUUAUAAAGAACAGAGCCACAGUUACAAGGGAUGCCAGUGCCGUUCGGAUAGCUCUGGCGAUCGUCGAGUAGCGCCAGGAAGUCGAAACUUUUCCGCCCAACCUGAUUUCUCGCAGCCUCUUUUGCACGACCUCUCCGGUGUUGCCUGCCUUCCGACGAAAAGCUGCCCAUUGAUCCUUCUCCAUUGUCGACUUACCAAGAUCCACUGUGUCGGUCUCUCUCUCUGUAUAUGCAUCGAUAUUUCUUCUUCUUCACUAUUCAAUGGUUCCUUUUGCAGAUAUGCUAUACCCAUCUGGAGUUUUGCCGUCGCUUGUCUCUGUGAGCGUCGAUCGUGACAAGUCGAUCACUUUUGCAGAUACGCUAAACUCAUCUUCAGUUUGUUCGUUUUUAUCAUUUGUUCUAAAAUUUCUGCUUCUGAGCAUUUUUCCAGGUUGUUCAAGAAUUUCACAUGUUCUGUUGUCAAAUUAUGUAUUACAUUCAUUUGCUCUAAAGAAAUUUCUGUGUUCUUUCCAAGAAAGGUAAAAAAAUAUUUCACUGACUUGCUUAUCUUGUUGAAAAGCACAAUGAUGAGCUUGCAAGAAGACGACAGUUGCUGAUCUUCACUGGUAUUCUUUUGUAUUGUGAUACUGUGAUCACGUAUUUUUAUCUUAGUCUAUUUUUUUUGUUUUCGCAGUAUGUUCUUCCCAGUGCGGUUGCAAAUUAGGGGCUAAUAAAGUUUUGGGAAAGAAGAGAAACAGAGAGAAAGAGGAAAACGAGAGAAGAGAGAGUGAUUUUAUUGAUUGUCGACUUCACAAUGCAUACACACCCUUGUGUGCAAACAUGUUCAUCCAUGCACUGACCCACGUUCAAAGGGACAUCAUCCAUCUAUUCUUGUCUGCUUUGGUACAAGGGGUGUAAUGUUGCGGUAGUCCUUAAUACUUGUCACCUUGGAAGAAGUAUUUGAAGGCCGAAGCCCAUAAUCAUAUAAUUAGCAUUCAACCACUUUUAAGUAUCUAUCAGCUUAACAAAGGAAUCAUAGUACCAAAUGGAGCAACAAAAGUUAUAUAGCUGUGGACACUAAUUCACAUUUUUAUAUGUAUAUUAAGCUUCCAGGUGAAUGAGAGGAUUAGGACCCGCCAUCCAGAAAAGAACCUAUUUUUCGACUACUCAAAAAUCUGGGGUUCUUUUGCUUUGCUGUUUGUCCUCUUUUUCUGGCUUAAUGGAUUAUUUUCCUGUUAGUCACGCUUAUUUGAUAUGUGCCAGUAGGGUUACUGUAAGGAAUUCAUAAGCGAGAUUAACAAGAUUGCAUCUUUGCAACAUCUUCAUAUUUGUAAACAGAUUGGAUUUCAUGCACGUGAAGGCUCUGAUCAUUGAAUUCUGGUUUUUUGAGAGACUUCCAUGGGAGCUUGGAUCGGCUGCUUUAUGGCAGACCUGAUGGACCUCCAAUCAACUGGAGUUUAUUUAAAACAUGAAGGCUUGCUUGUUCUGCUAUUUCUGAAUUUCUCAGAAUUUGCAUUUCUUAAUCAAUCUUAAGAAAAAUUAUGUCCAUUUGUGUGCUGAUGGAUGUGGCAGUCUUGCAUAUAUCGUACAUUUUUUUGCAUUUUUCUUCUUAUUUCCUAAUUCUUUUUGUGCAUUUGAGGUUCAAUUCAUGGGUUCCAUAAAGAAGCUGUUAGAACCCAAUGGAAUAAUGUACCCAUACAAAGUUCUUCCUCCGUCCGUACUUUGCUAAAGGUUUGCAUGUGAGAGAAUACCAGACUACGGCAAUACUUGCAAUUGUAUAUGCAGAUUGAUCGUUGAUGUUGGAGAGCAUGAAAUACAUGGUUUGCCAGAAGAGGUGAGCAACAAGCCAGAAAAUAGAGAGGUUUUCCCGUCACUAGUUUUACGUGCCAACCAAAUAUGAUGCUGCUGCUAGGUGGAACCCAUUAGAGAGAGAGAGAGAGAGAGAGGCAGUUGAGGCGUGCUAGUGCCUCAAAGCCCUGCUUUUACUUGUGGUUUAGGGAGAUAUACCGGUGACAGUACAGUAUCGGCCAAGUUAAUCACCGUUAUAGAUCUAUAUCGGUGAUUUGGCCGUCACCGUCACCGUUAUCAUUUUGGUCUGCAUAUGGGCCAUUUUGUAAUUCUUAUA